Equus caballus (horse) is the source of this 11587-nucleotide long non-coding RNA. RefSeq lists it as uncharacterized. The record is from RefSeq and is a predicted model, not a curated record. Lineage: Eukaryota; Metazoa; Chordata; Mammalia; Perissodactyla; Equidae.
GCGAACCAACGAAACACUGGGCCGCCUGCAGCGGAGCGUGCGAACUUAACCACUCGGCCACAGGGCCAGCCCACCGUUAUCUUCUUUUGAGUUUUUACAGGGAAGGAAACUGAGGCUCAGUGGGGCUGGGAUCACACAGACCAUAAGUGAAGAGUUGCGUGUCUGGACAGCUGUUGUGGCGCCCUGGCCAUCCCAAAAGCUCCAGCAUUCCAUUUCAAGGAUCUCUUGCUGGCUUCCCUCCUACCAUCAUUCCUCUGAGAGAACGUGGCCUUGAGAACAAGGAGUGGAGAGCUGCCAGCUACUGCCACCUGACACAGAGCCUCAUUGCCCUUGCCUGUCUCCUUCCCCUGUCCAUCUUCAGUGUAGGGUCAAGAAGUGGGCCACUCCUUCCUUUUAUCCGAGGUGGACUUCUUGUUUUCUCCCCCCAGAGGUUGCCACGUGUCUAAUUGCCCAUCAAGCUAGAGUGGUGGAGGGAAAUUGGUAUCAAAGAGUUUUUGCUGAAUGCUUGAAUGGACGACGGCUUAGAGAACUGACUGAAGUUUGAGCGGGAAACAGGAAGACAAGGCCAACGUCAUUUAGCCCACCAAAUACCCUCAUGCCCUUUGGGAAGAAGAAAGAUGAAUAUGGAAGAAGCAGAAAAGGAUGAGUUUAAAUUGAGGCAUAAAGAACAUAGAACUAAAUAAGUAAGACCUCAAAAGUCCCUUAGUCAUCAUCUAAUCCAGACCUUUAUUUUUUUAGCAGAGGGCAUCAAACCCCCAAGGGGAUCGUGACCUUAGUGACCUCCUUAAGAUCACAGGGCCAGAGUGAGGCCUUGGGUCUCUUGACUAUUUUGAUCUCAACGAGAUGUUGGUCUCCUCUUCUCCACAUUCACCUCAAACUCAUUUAUUCCAGAAAACUACCUUACCUAACCCAGGGGUCCAGUUAGCACCAAAGUGAUCUAAACUAACCUUGAGUUUACUGUCCUUGGGUCCAUUUUGGCAAUUGCCUCGUGGCCUCAAGACUACCCCCACUUAGAAAGAAUGGGUGAGGGUAGCCAAAGCCAAAUGUACAGGGCCAGUUUUACCCCAGGCUGGCCCAGGAGAGGUUUGGCUUGGGUUAUUACCAAGGUGCGAGGUCUCACCUCCUAGGAGUUUGUUCCAGGGGUCUGCAGUCAUCGGAAUACGCAGUCUUGAGCAGAGGUGUCUAGACCUUGUCGAAUGAUCAGAGACCGGGACGUGAACACACAUUUUACCCCUUUAUAAUGACUUGGGUGUGCCAAACAGGACCCAUCACCCCCAAGUCCUAGCCUAGGAUUUUCUAACCAAGUAUAUAGUUAGAGGAAAAUGUAAUCCACGUGUAUCUGACUCACUCAUCCCUAAAUUAUCCUAAAGUUCCAUUCUGGGAAUGGUUUGAUAUGUACUCUGCUUUUUUUCAUCUUUUGGAAUCUUGAAUUGGCCAAGACAAAAUAAAAAGCCAUCCUGAGAGAUGGAAGGACUCUUCAAGUAGAGGCAUGACCUGUAGGCUCCUCCCCAAGGCCUCCUGGGACAGGAAGCCCAGCAGGGCAGGGAGCAUGCCAGAACCCAGAAACAUACCUUUAUUAGUCAUCUCCCAGCUCCCCUUCUGCUUGUACUUCUGCGAUGCUGUGCCCUACUGAGGAAAAUCACCCAGUGCGGAAGAUGGUGUCACUACAGAUUUAUGGCAUCUGGACUCUGUUGCACCCCCAAGAGUACGGAGAGAUCCCAUCAGGUGAGUCUCCAAGGACAUUCCAGACCUUCACCACGCUUCUCAACACCCCAAAUCCUUUUCUCAAUGAUUUUCUCUUUUGCAGAGAAAAGUGAGUCCAUCAAGAAAGAAUUUUCUCCCCUUCCUGUCACGCUCUACAAACCUAUCUGCCUCAGCACCCUCCUGCUCAAUUAGGGCCAUUUCUGAAGGGCCAGCCCAGCUUCAGAGCUCCCUGUGGUCCCAGUUGCAUCAUUCUUCAACUCCCCUCUCCGCCGUUUCCGCUUCCUUUGCCCCCUCACUCAGUAGGUGUUCUUCCCAAGACCACCCCCCAGUAAUUCUCCUACGUGAAAAUCACACGGUCUGUUUCUUGGCGAACCCAACUAAGAUGAGAAAGAGUGUUUCAGGCAGUGGGAACAUGCAAUGGCGUCCAAUUUCUUCCUGUGUCCUCUGGGACCUUGUUCCAUGAUCCCCUCUUUUUUGCUGAAUCUUCAAACUCCACCUCUCCUUAGCGUAUAUACUUAUUCAAGUCUUUCCCACAUUAAAACACAAAAAUUAAACCUUCCUUUCACCCGAAGCCCCUCUCCAGCUGUUACCCCAUACAUAUUCCCUUUUGGUCAAGCUUCUCAAGAAAGUAGAUGGUCAUUACUCCCUUCAUCUCACAUUUACUCCUCAACUCAUUGUGGUCGGCAUCCACUGUCAACAAUGAAAGACUCUUUGAAGUCACCAGCAGUAGGUGCUUUUCAGUCUUCGUUGCUUGACUUGUCAGCCAUAUUUGAUGCCAUUGACCUUCCUCUCAAUCUCCACUUCCUUUGCUCCUUUGGUUUGUGUUCUUUUCUGAAUCUCUUUCUACUACUUAGGAGAUCUGUUUAGUCUCUGUUGUGUCCCCCUCACCCCCUGUCCCACUACAUCCAUAAAUGUUGGUUGGGAUUUCCCGUAUCUCUCCAUGGCUGUCUGUGCCUUCUUCUCUUCUCACUCUACACACUCCCCACUCCCGAUAAGCUACUCCCUCAAGCUCCUGACCUGAAUCUGCACUUCUAGCCAAGGUCUCUCUUCUGAACUCCAUCUUAAGUUCUAUGAGAUAAAACAGGACUCAUUAGCAGGACUCUGUCUACCCUUGAAUCUGCUCACCUUUCUGAACACCCCCAUCUUGGGGAAGGAUGUCAACGUUUCCCUAGGGCCUCUGCCUUAUCCCUGGCAUUCAAUCAGUCACCAAGUCCUGCCAACUUGACCGCUUAAGCAUCCAUCCUCUCUGCUCUGGCUCCAUUCCUACUGCCUUGGUCCAGGCUCUCACUUCUUGAUGGCUAUUGCUAUGGUCUCCUAAUGGUUUCCUUUCAGCCACUCUUGACCAUGCCCAAUCCAUACUAUACAUAGAAGCAAGAGUGAUAUUUCUAUAAAACAAAUCUUGUGCAUCAUUCCUUUACUUAAAAUUCUUCAGAAGCUUCUCAUCACUCUCAGGAUAAAAUCUAAAUUCUUCAGUAUAACAUAAAAAAUCCUGUAUGAUCUAGUUCCUGUCUGUCAGUGCAGCCUCAUUUCUCCUUCCCGUUCCCCCUCUCCAUGCUACGGCAACACUGAAAUUCAUUGUUCUAACUCCCACAACACAGUAGAUUUUCUCUUUAAGUCUAAACUUCUUGAGAGCAGUGUUCAUAUCUUUUCAUCUCUGGAUCUUCUAUACAAAGUACAGGGCCUGGCAUAGAGCAGGCACUCAAUACAUGUUUAAUUAGCACUAACGCCUAGCUUUUAUUGAACACUUUCGGUAAGGCCAGGCAACGUGCUAAGCACUUUAACAUACAUUGUGUCAGUUAGUUCACACAACUACAAUUACUGUUAGGUAGGUGUCAUUAUCCCUAUUUUAAAGAUGAGAAAACUGAGACAUAGAGAGGUUAGGUAGCUCUCCCAAGCUGGUAAGUGGCUCAGAAGAGACGUGAACCAUACUCUUAAUUAAGCACGAGUGUGAGCUGCUAUGCCAUUCAUGCUGAUGAAAGUUCAGUGUAGGGAUUCUGGGUGCAGCUCUUGGGAGCUGCCUUACGCACUGUCUGUCUGACACCAGUCCAUCCAGUGCUUGCACGGGCCUCUACCUAUUAACUUGGGCCUUGAGGCUUGCACUCGGUGAACAAGAUUUCAGCAUUCCCAGUUCAGCCAGUCUUUGCUCCCAUAUCAAAAUCCUUUGCCACUGCUACAGUUCUACCGUGCUGCCCAGACUCUUCCAGAUCUGGCACCUGGUCUCCUGGCUUCUGGCUGAGAGCUCUGCCUCCUGACCAUGCAGACCUACAGCCAGUAACACUCAACAAUGCUUGGUUUCUCAGGCUUGUCUGGCCAGUAGGUCUGUCUUGGUGUGCACCCCAGUCCACAUCCCCAGCUCUGAUCUGAUUGCUUCCCAUGUAGACCAGCACUCUUAGCAUGCUGGGCCCCAGCCAGCGCCGUCCUUGCCUUGCUGUCAGUCACUCUGCCUGAGCUGAGACCUUGCUCCCUGCUCCCACUGCCAGCAGCUCAGGGACCAGACAGCAGGAGAAGCGGAGAGGUGAGGGACCACUUAGAAAGGCCUGUGACUGCCAGUCAGGGGCGUGCUGAGACUGUGGGGACGGGUGGGGCUGCAUCUACAGGUCUUCAUCCCCACACCUGCAGUUGGAGAGCUCACAGCUGAACUCUGGAGCCACCGGCCCACUAGCUAUGCUUCCUUCUCAGUCACUGUUUGUUUCUCAGUAUGGCAAAGUUACAAUGCAAGUACAGUGACGUGUUCUUGACUAACAGGACUGAUACUUUGUGACCAGCUUUUAUUGUGAUGUUAAUGAUAAUUUGUACCUGGCUCUAAUUAUUAUAUUAACAAUAUGCAGUCCUUGAUGAGUAAGAGUUGCACUUCAGAAAUAAGGCCAGAUUGAUCUGAGCAGUGAAACUAUUUUAAAUGAUAAAGCUUCAAUUUUGUAAGUCAUUUUUAUUAUAAAGCACUUUCAUACAUAUCAUCUCGUUUCAACUGGGUUAAAAUAGUUUUUUUAAUACAACAAAGGGGAAUAGGGCUCAGAUUUAAAAUCGCGUCCUAUUCGUCCAUCACUGUUGAAGGCAACAGCACUAAUCCCAGAGACUUAAUAUACAACAUUUGAGUAAUCUUUCCAGCAACCACAAAAGAUGGGAAUUAUCCCCAUUUUAGAGACAGGAGAAGUUAGGUAAAUUGCCCACUGUCCCACAGCUAAUAACAGAAAAGCCAGGAGCUGAAAUCAGGUCUGCCGGAUGCUAACGCUUACGUGCUCCUGCUGGGCCCCUCUGCCCACCGCCGGGCCUUGUUGCAGGCUGUGCACGGUUCCAGUGGUCUCCCGCUGUACUCUGGGCUCCAGCGCAGGAUUAAACGUCACCACCUCCCCACCAGGGUGUCGUGAGCUUUUGUGUCUUAAACACAACUUCCUGGUGUUAACCUCCAGUCCCUCUGUUGGGAUGCUGGCCCUAGAUGACUGACAUUCCCAUCUGACUUACUGUCGAGGAGGUACCUGGCACUCAGCUGUGAGCUGGAUGUCACAGGAAGCCACCGUUCCCAAGGAAAAGGGAAGGCAGCUCCUGGGAAGCUCCGAAGUGGAGGCAAAGGCCAUCAUGACAACGUGGUGAGCAGGCGCUUCCUCCAUUUGCCCAGGACUUGCUGAGAACAUCAUUCCAGAAGUAGGCAGGUGACUUUACUAUCUAAUUGUCAUCUCUUGAGAUUCUGCCAUCUGGAGGGUGCUUGUCCCCUUUAAACUAUCCUGCCCACGGAAGGCCACCACUAGUGAAAAUAAUCCACAGAGCUGGCAGGGCAAGGGGCCUUUGUGAGGAAGUGAAAGAGUUCUGAUCCUGCCUCUAUCAGGCCCGUUCUUAAGGUCUCAGGCAAGUCUCCUUCUCUCCAGGGCUUCCGUUUGUUAACAGUUACUAGAUCCUCCUGAAGGUCCCCUUGUUUCUCAUGUUCCAGUGGUCCCUCGGGGCUGACCUCAGCGGUUUUAGGAAGACACCUUCCCUCCUGCUCAGGCUCAUGGACCUAGAGUCUGGGUCUCCACACGUCUGAGAUCCCGGAUUGUCCCGACACCCUGACAGAAGGUGGCAGUCUCAGAUACCAUGUUGAGUGUAGCCUGGAUGUUUGCGGCUGGGGCCCGGCGGGGCCUCCAUGGAUGGCAGGGAGCACGAGUGAGUGUAUAUGAGUGAGUGUGUGUGGAAGCGUGCAGUGUGUGAGUGUUUAUUUAUUCUAGGAGCAGUUGCUAGGUCGGGGGUGUUUGCCAGCAGAGAGCUGCCUGAGUGCCGUGUUUGUUUACUUAGCAGAGUGCAGGGAAGGACAAGGAGAGAGACAAGUGCAGGCUACAUGGGCUUAGAGUGGGUUCUUGGGGCCACUUUGAAUGGUCCCAUUCCACGGAUGCUGCUGGGUCCAGAGGGCCCCCUUCGGGGACUCAGGCUCUGCUCUGCCUUCUCUACCAGCAGCUCUAUUCCUGACCCCACUGCCAAGCAGGGUAGAAUUGCUUAUUCCCCACCAGGGUCCAUCCUCCCUUCCUGCUGGGGGUCUCCUGGCUGCAGGGCCCUGAGAGAAGGUACAGGAGGAAAAGGAGGGACAGUGGUAUCAUGACAGAACAACAGGAUGCUAAUCUGGGCUCCACUGACCAGUAACUCUAUGGCCUUUGGUAAGUCACUUGACCUCACUGGGCUCAUGUUCCUCAUCUGUAGAAUGAGGGUAACUUCAGAGUUUCCUUAUAGCUAAUCAGUUGCUUCUUCCGAGAAGACCUGCAGCUCUAUACCAGCUUCUUCCCAUCCCAUUGGACCUGGAAGCCUACAGAUCCUGCUCCUCUAACCUCACUCUCCUAUCCCUGCCCAAGAGCAUCCUCACCCCUUACCUUAGAGUUGGCCUUUCCCACAGGCAAUCCAUUCGUGUAAGAGUGAAGUCCUAGGCCCCCGUCCUCUGUCUUCCAGGUUAUAUGCUGGUUAUAUACCCCCUGUCCUCAGGACAAAGAUGGAGAGAGAGAGUGAGAAAGAGAAGGGACCAACAGGAGAUCCUCCUGACUCCCUCCGCCCUCAGCCACAGGCCCGGAAGGCACAUUUCCCCAGAAGCUGGAGCCAGCUGAAUUUCAGCUGGGUGGCCCCAGGGACACCCCAGGAGCCUCCACCUCCCGCCCCCUGCCCUAAGGCCCCAGCAGUGUGUCUGCAAGUCUCUGAGAGAGCACUAGCUCCCCAGACACAGGCUGGCUGGCAGCCAGGGGUGGUGUUCUGGCUCCUGCACCAGCCAGGAGGGUGGCAGGAAGCCCCUGUUAAUCCCCUUGGAGAGAGCUCCUUGGCAGACAGAGAGGAGGGGCUGCCUGUGCUCUGUUCCUACUUCAGGGCCACAGGACAUUGUCCUCUAAAGUCUUUCAUUGGCAGGGUUUAUGCCUCAGUGUUCUGCCCACACCCCUUGGAUGCUUGGGCUAGGAUCCCAUCCAGGCCUACUCAAUAGGGAAGGGAGCCUGGACUCUUCCUUUUCAGGUUAAGGCUCUUCUGUGACCCGUAACUUACCCCUGUUCCUCUAAAAACCCUGAAGAGUUAUGAAGAAACAGGGUAGGUGGCACUUUGCCCCCUUGGGGCUCCAGCCUUCCCUAGCUCCCGUUUGCCUUUGGACUUUCCUGACAAUGUUUGGAGAGGCCACCAGGAUUGCCAGGCUCAGGGCUGCUAAUUCCUUCUCCUCCUCCUUAUGCCGUGACCCCACCACGCACCUCUGGCCCCAACACACACAAAUGCACAGAGUCAGCCUUCUGCCACUGAGGCUGCCUGUUCCAUUGGUGCCACAUAGAAGCAGAUGAAGAGCUGGAAAAAUCAUCCCAGGGCCAAAGAGAAUCAGUGUGGAAAAAGCAAGGGAGACAGUGAAACCAGAUACAGAAAAGGCAGCCAGCUGGGGAGGUGGUGUCUGCCCCGCAGACCUCCUGCUGUCUUCCCAGGGAACCAGCGGCUGGGGGGAUGGCCAAGCCCCAGGCCCAGGCUUGGCCUUCCUUUCUCCCUGCUUGCUCAGCUGGCAUGCCACCUGCAAGGGUCUGCCAGGCCCCUGAUCCUCCAGUGGUCCUGUUCUAGUCCCAGAUCUAGGACACAGGAUUCCUGCCCCUAAGCCAAUCCCUCCCCAUGCGUGGCUCUUACUGGGUGAGCAAAGCACCAGGGGUCAGGCUGUUCUUGCUUCCCCUUACCUGUUUCUGCCCUACCUCUACCUACACCCCUUCCAGCCUGGUACCAAAGUAAGACUUUGAACUGGGGAUGUGAGUGGGGUGGGUUUCACCCUUUCUAGCAUCAAAGAGGAAGUAAAUAUGUCUCAGUCUGAGAGAUCUCUAUAUUCCCAAGGGAGCUGGUGCCAUCCACCUCAUUUAGGCCUCAAGGGUCAUUUAAGGACUCCUUCUAGGCUGGCUCAGUGCUCUCCAUGCAGGAGGGGCUGGCAUUAUGGUUGCUGAGGAGAGUCUGGAGGAAGGGUCAGCAGAUAGAACUAUCCCCUUGAUCCUCCCAGGCUACAACUUGGUCCUAGCAUUCCCAAGAGGAAUGCCCCAAACCAAGCGAGGUCCACUGUGUCCAGGUGGACCACUCCCAAACCCAUUUCUACCACGGAUCAUUUCCCAGAAACUUUCCAAGAUGGGAAAUCACAACUGAAGCUGGUUGUUUAGAUCGGAAAAUCUGGGUGUAAUGUUGUUCAAGAAACCAGAAAGUCUCCUCACAUGAACCUUGGCCUGCAACCUCUCCCUGCUCCCCUGGCCUGUCCACUCCUCUCUGCCUGAGUCACGACAGCAAUCAACAACUGGAACACAGAGCUUUACGAUGUGCCAAGCACUCCCACGUGCAUGAUGACAUUUGCUCCUCCUAACGGCCCUGUGAGAUAAGUUGUUGUUAGCUCCACCCAACAGAGGCUAGCGCUGAGGCCCAAGGAAGUCGCGGGGCCUGCCUGAGACUGUGCAAGCCAUAGGCGGCAGGACCUGACUUGAAAUCUUGGGUUCUUUCCAUGGAGUCCUUUCUGCCAGCAACCCAGAGAUGCGCAGGGGGAGUCGGAGCCCUCCAGAUGGUUGGAGGGCGAGGAGGGACUGACUUGACUGGCUUCCUGCAGGGCCUUAUGUGGUGGCCUCAGCCCUCCCAGUUCCUCAGGAGCAGAGGGGGCUGGUGAGGGGCUUUCUGAGAGGCAUGUCUCUCUUCUGCGACUUGCCCUGCCCCCUUCCACUCCCAGAUCUUCCUGCAUGUCUAUCAGGCCAAAGCUUGUCCUUUCUUCUCUCUCACAGUCACCUGCCCCAAAGAAUCCCUGCUCCCCUCUGCUUCUCCCCUUCUCCCCCCAGAUGUUCCUGCCCUUGCUUUGGGAGUGAGGGCGGUGGUCACCCAGGGGAGGAGCCAGCAUCCUCAGGGCCCUUGGCAUGGACGCUGCUGCCUCAUGUAACCUUGUUUUAGCUUUGGCUUCACUAUGGAAACUGAACUCCAUUGGGGUGCUCUUUGGGCUCUUAAAGAACCCCCAGUGCCUUCCCCCUGCCCUCAGACUUACUAUGUGACUUUGAACAGAAAUUCAGACUCUUCCGGCCCUUUGUGCUCUGGGGCAGAAUGGUAUGGGAGCCCAAACCUAGACUCAGGAAGGCAGAAGUGAGGUGAGAGGCAGAAUGGACCCCUUUUCCUGAGCGAUAAUCUGCCUGAGGCCCAUCCGUUUCCCGAGGGCUGCUGUUCCUUUCACCCGGUGACCUGGGAACCCCCAGCCCAGGCCUCUCAGGGAAGGUGAUUGUGCAGAAGCCAAGUUUAUCCCAAGCAAUGCAGUGAGUACGUUGGAGGGCGUGGGGUGGGGAGGAAGUUUUAUCCAAAACACAUGUUAUUGCCACUAUUCUAGUUAUCUUGGAUAUUUCCUGCAUGUUUGUCACCAUGGCAACUGACUCAGCACGAAACCUUGUUUGCUGGGCCCUGGGGUCCGGCACAGAGGCCAUGUGGUGCCAAUUUGGGCGUCUUGGUGCUUGCUCUGUCUCCCCCAGCUCAUGUCUCUCUGUCUUUUUGUCUUUGUCUCUGUCUCUCCCUGGCCUGUCUCUGUGCCUCUCCACUUUCUUCUUCCAGGAAGCAGCUGCUCCUGCAUCCCUGGGUGACAUAGGCGGAGACAGGGCCCUGCUCUGCCCACCCAAGCCUCCCUCAGCGUCUCCCAAAGUCCUUGACUCGGGAUGCCCCAGCAUGGACGAGAAGGCCACAUUGCGUGGGACGCGCAGGAGGGCAGCCUUCGCUGGAAGAGGGCUCGCCACGCUCCGGGCUGUUGGUUGAAAUAGAUCUGUGCUACUACCUGCUGACAGCCCCCUGGGAAGGAUGGGCUUGGGUUCUGGGAGACACGUAGGCUUUGGAUCCGACUCUCUCUGUGUGUGGGAGUGUGGGUGGUGUCUUCCUCGCAGAGCCCUUGCUCCAUAGGCUUUUGGAGGAGAGAUAGGUGUGGAAUGGCAGAGAAGGGGAAGGAGCUAAAACUCACUUAAGCAAAGAAAAGACGAGGAGUCCCCCAAAAGGGAGAGGCUUGGCAGCUGAAGGGCAGUGAGGUUUCUGGGCACUCUGGUCUCCCCAAGGGUCUCACCAUUCCUAGUCCUUUCUCCCAGGGCUGUGGGGUGCAUCAGAGCCACCGCAGACAGCAGUGUCCCUCCAUGGGGGCACCAGGCAACAGGGAGGGUGUUGACAACAACAGUGUGCAAGGAGCUGGGCCAGCAGUCUGGAAAAGGCAAUGUGAGCAGACAGAAUGUAAACAGGCAGCAACAUGGGAGGUGGGGGCGUCUCCUGUCCCCCUCCCCACCUCCCAGGCCUUGCCUUCUUUCAUGCUCUGGAAGCCAAGCCUGGCCAGCUCUUGCCAGCUCCCCUCUACCAAGUUUCCUGCAUCCACAUCCUUUCAGAAAGGCCUUUCCACACCACCUUCCCAGCCUGCACAUUUGUCCGCAGCUGCUGCUUAUCAUGCCUGAUCCCCACUCUCUGAGCAAGGUAGGCCUGGAAGUUGUAAAGAGCCCAGGUCUCCAGGCAGGGCUGGGACCACCUGUGGGACUGCUGGGAGGAAAGGGGAAGAACAGAGAAGCAGGCUUGUACCUGGUGGCAGAGUCAGACACUGCCCUCCUCAUAACUCCUGCGGGGUCAUAACUUGUCAGCCCCUAGGUGUGAUGGGGCCUGGACCAAGAAGGGAGAGGCUGGACUGGGCAGCCCCUGGGCCUGGCCCUGAGAGCAGAAUCCUAUUGCCGCAUGGCCAGCAUCUACAAGGGCACAGAAAGUCACUGUUCUUUUGGGCUGGUGUCAUUCCAACAGGACCAAGCCUAUGGAUGAGUCAGGGCAGCAGGAAAACAGAAAAGGCUGCAGCAGCGUGCCUCUGGGGCUCAGCCAAUGGGAUGCAGGGGCCCUGGGGCUUUGGGGGCCACAGGGGCCAGGGGCCGGUCCCAGGGGGAGGGACUGCCAAGAAUUAGGUGGUAUGUCGGGGCUCCAGUCAUAUUGGAAGGGAUUCAGAAUGGGUGAGCUCCAGUCCCAGUGGGGAACUGCAAGGCCAAGUGGGAACCAGGCAGGACGAAGUGGGCAGAGGCUUGAGGAGACAGUGGGUCGGCAGGCCUAAGCGUGACCAUUGUGGUGGGCAGAGCAGGAGUCAUGGAGCCAGAUCGACAUGGCUCGAGGUCCAGCUCCACCACUUAGCCUCAAGCAAGUUGGAGAACUCUCUCAACCUCACUUUCCCAUCUGUAAAAUGGAGAAAAUACCCAUCUUGCAGGUUCUUGUAAGGAAUAACUAAGAUGUUCUGUGGUAAGUUCCCAGAACCGUGCCUAAGAUCACAAGGAAGGUGCUUGACAUCAUUCUCCCUUCCCUGGAAAGGGGGAUCAUUCCAUAUACUUCCUCUAAGACUAAUAGGCUUCUAGGCUUUUCUGUUUUUUUUUUUUUUUUUUAGGUUUUUCUGUUUUUUGAGGUUUUUUUAUUUUCCUGCUUUUUU